RNAcentral lists this long non-coding RNA (1119 nucleotides) under Oryctolagus cuniculus (rabbit). Its description in RNAcentral is "lncRNA (ENSOCUG00000036532.1)". The record is from RNAcentral. Lineage: Eukaryota; Metazoa; Chordata; Mammalia; Lagomorpha; Leporidae.
AUGAUGCGCCCUGCACUGGUCACAGAGCUGGUCUUGCAAAUCUCCAUCCAACAGGAGGGAGAAACCCCAGAGUACCCAACAGUUCCUCCCACACAGUUACUCCCACCAGCUACUCCCACAGUUCCUCCCACACAGCUACUCCCACACAGUUCCUCCCACACAGUUACUCCCACCAGCUACUCCCACAGUUAUUCCCACACAGUUCCUCCCACACAGUUACUCCCACAGUUCCUCCCACACAGUUACUCCCACAGUUCCUCCCACACAGUUCCUCCCACACAGUUCCUCCCACAGUUACUCCCACACAGUUCCUCCCAGUUCCUCCCACACAGCUACUCCCACACAGUUCCUCCCACAGUUCCUCCCACACAGUUACUCCCGCACAGUUCCUCCCACAGUUCCUCCCACACAGUUCCUCCCACAGUUCCUCCCACACAGUUACUCCCACAGUUCCUCCCACACAGUUCCUCCCACACAGUUCCUCCCACAGUUACUCCCACAGUUCCUCCCACACAGUUACUCCCACAGUUACUCCCAGUUACUUCCACACAGUUACUCCCACACAGUUCCUCCCACAGUUCCUCCCACACAGUUCCUCCCACACAGUUCCUCCCACAGUUACUCCCACAGUUCCUCCCACACAGUUACUCCCACAGUUACUCCCACAGUUACUCCCAGUUACUUCCACACAGUUACUCCCACACAGUUCCUCCCACAGUUCCUCCCACACAGUUCCUCCCACAGUUACUCCCACACAGUUACUUCCACACAGUUACUCCCACACAGUUCCUCCCACAGUUACUCCCACACAGUUACUCCCACAGUUACUCCCACACAGCUACUCCCACACAGUUCCUCCCACACAGUUCGUGUGCCUGCGGCCAUCGCCCACCUGCAUCCCACGUUGCAUCAAGAAAUGCAGACCAGGUUGGCAUGGCCUGGCACCCUGUGGCAGGUAACACCAACAACCGGAAAGAGACAGUUGGGUGCUCUGGCCCCGGGCCUGAAAAGCACCCGGCUCGGUGGAGAAACACCGGGGUGGCCACACCCACAGUUCUGCCGCAGAGAAGGAAACUUUUCAUAGGAGCGGGGCUGCUGCAUCAAAGCAGCUCGAAUUAG